AUGGUGGUGGGCGAGAACAAGCGAACUGCCAACAUUAUGGAUGGCAUCGAGAAUACGGGAGAUGUACGGUUGCAUGACCAUCGCCUGCGACUGAAGCAGAGAUUUGACAUAGUCAGAAAAUUAGGCCAAGGCACAUAUGGCAAAGUGCAACUUGGUAUCAACAAGAAGACAGGACAAGAAGUUGCCAUCAAGACCAUAAAGAAAUGCAAAAUCGAAUCGGAGGCCGAUCUUAUUCGCAUCAGGCGGGAGGUCCAGAUUAUGUCUUCUGUCAGACAUCCUAAUAUUGUACAUAUUUAUGAAGUAUUUGAAAAUAGUGAAAAAAUGAUCCUCGUUAUGGAGUACUGUUCCGGUGGUGAAUUGUACGACUACUUGAGUCAGAAAAAAGUAUUACAAGAGGAUGAAGCCAGAAGGUUAUUUCGACAAAUCGCUACAGCUGUUUACUAUUGCCAUAUACACAAAAUCUGCCAUAGAGAUUUAAAAUUAGAGAAUGUUUUACUUGAUGAUACUGGUAGUGCUAAGAUUGCCGACUUUGGAUUGUCAAAUGUAUUCAAAGAGACGUCGCUUCUAUCAACAUUCUGCGGAUCGCCUUUGUACGCGUCGCCUGAAAUCGUAAAAGGAACACCGUACAUAGGACCUGAGGUGGAUUGCUGGUCCUUGGGCGUGCUGCUAUACACUCUAGUCUAUGGAGCAAUGCCGUUUGACGGCUCCAACUUUAAACGGCUUGUCCGCCAGAUCAGUAACGGAGAUUACUACGAACCUAAAAAUCCAUCCAGCGCAUCACCGCUUAUUCGUGACAUGCUCACUGUGGACCCGUUAAAGCGCGCAGAUAUAACUUACAUUUGCGACAAUCCAUGGGUGAACGUCGGUUGCGAGACAUCAUGUCUAGAAAUGGCGGAGGCCUUAGCGGCGGAGACACCAGUUCGUCUUGACUUGUUACUCUCACUGGCACCAGCUGCGCCUUCCAACUCCAACUCGGUUGUAGUGCCGUCUGAGGCACAGAUGGGUCCAGAGGAGAGUUGCACGGAUCUCACGAGCUCUGCUUCGAUGGCCGUCGAGCCAAGCAACUCUGCCGAAAAAAGGAUCCUCGAACUCGUUGCUGAGGGUGGCGAAGAUGCGAUCAAACCAUCUCCGACGCGUACAAUAGUGUCAGCAGGAGACAACAAACGCAAGCUCGAGCUCGCAAUGUCCUCCAGUGGCAUGCAGAGAAAGAAAGAAAGAGUCGCCAGUGCGGUGGGAAUUGCUGCGCCAGGGCCGGCGCUCGAGGAAGAGGCGGCUGAUUUGCCUGCUGACACGCCUUCACCAGAACAGACAAGCCCGCCGACACUAAAAUCUUCAGCGACUAUCACGAUCCAACCGUCGCCACCGUCUGCCGCCCCUGCCACCCCAGCUCCCGCUACUGCCACUGCCUCCGUAGAACUAGUCAAGGUCCCUGUAAGAGAAGUAAAGGAGGCCCCUAAGGAAUCUCCCAAAGAGGAAGAUGCGAAGGAGAAGACUGGUGCCAAACCACGAGUUAUAAUUAAGAAAAAAGUUACCCCGAAGUCUUCCGAGGAAAAAGCUUCGCCUGAAAAACUAGAUGAACCGAAGCAGGAAGAAACAAAAGUAAGUUCAGUGGCGUCAGCGGCAGACAAAUUGACCUCGCUCUCUCUGGCGCAGCAGACGCCGACCAACCAAACGCCUGCAAAGCCUAAGAAACUAUCCUUUCCUGGCGGCAAUGUGGGCAGUUUUAAGGAACAGUUCGAACGUCGUGCUUCAUUGACUACCACUCCAGAAGUGAAGAAGAACUUCUCCAAACCAGCUUCAGUGUCAAAGAUCGCGAAGCCGAAAGCGCAGAGCGAGGACCGCGAGCUACCCGCGAAGAUGCCAGACAACGGUACAGUGAGAUUGCAACAGAUCGGCAUUGAACCUUCACAGACUAUACCCGACGAACACCCCAACCGUGGUAGUGUUAAGAAAACCGAAAGUGAGCCUUCACAUGGUUCCUCAUCAACAGAUCCCUCUACGCUGUUGCAAGACGCUAGAAGGAGUCUCCAGAACUCAAUGGCCAAACUGGUGGAAGAGAAGAAUACAGAAGAGAACCGACGUCGCGCCGCUCGAGAUAUCAUCUCUACCGCGAUUCGUACAGGUAAACCCCCAGUGCCGUACGGGCGGUCGUCGUCGGCGGGCGUGACGUCGCUGGCGUCACUGGGGUCGCCGCCAGCCACGCCGCCCACUGUGCCCGCGCCGCGCGUCUUCCGCACCGAGGCACAGCAUCGUGUCGAGGACCAUCGCAAUCGGGGUGUAUCGGUGGAACGGAUAAUUCCGAUUAACCUGGCUGGUGAUGAUUCGCCCACGUCGCCUCCGCCGCAAUCUAAAGCCGCGCCGUCUGCAUCUGCUGCAUCUAAACCAACUCAACAACCAUUAAGGCGCCUAGUAUCGAACGAGUCGACGGCCAGUGAGGCAUGUUCGGCUCCUAGCGGCGAGCCAAUCAAGAAGUCUGCGCGCGAGUUUAUUAUACCUAUCGCGGUGGAGGGCAAGGGCUACGUGACUCCGCGCCAACGCAGCCUCGAACCAGAGACUUCCAGCGCCACGCGCUUGACACGCACACCUAAACCUAGGCGCAUCAGCAGCCUCGUAAGCGGCGGGGAAUCGGAGGAAGAAGACGAAAUGCAUAUGCACAGGCUAAGGUCGACUCGAGCGGCACGUGCCGAGUCGGUGAGCUCUGGCGAAGAGGACGAGGAAGACGAAGGCUUCCAUCUGCUUACGGCUGAGAAUCUCUUUUCAACAUUGUUGCAUAGGGUCCGAGCAUUAACAAACCGCCUGAACGGCGAGGAAGGCCCUGGUUUCCAACACCCUCAUUCUUUGUUCAACAACUUACACCAGUCCCCGUUCUUCAACAGCCCUCACUUACCCCGGAGACAUCUUUUCACUCAUAGAUAUGUGGAAAAUAAAAGAAGCGUAUCAGAAACGCGUGAAGGAUGGGGAUCGCGCGACCUGCAUGCGGACUUCGAUACGAUGUUCAGCAAGCCACGAACGUCGCUGCCGCGAGGUAUUAGUAAGAAAAGCAAGCACCAAACGAAGACUCAACAAAACGCGGAACAGAACACGGAAAGCGGGUUAGACCUGUCCGACCUGGACCUGAGCUCGAUUCAGUUGUCCGAGGCCGAGAUGCGCGCGCUGUCGGGGCUGACGCCGGCGCUGUCGCGGCGCCUGCAGCAGCAGCUGCUGGCUAGCCUGCCUCCCGCCGCCGCGCGCUCUCUGCGCCGCACGCUCUCGCUGCACGACCCCAUCGCCACUUCGGCGCCGCCGCCGCGCUCGCGCUCUGCCUCCAAGGCCGUGACAUCCGAGCCCACCACGCCCGCCACUAACGCGCCCCGAUCCGACCUAACUGACGAUCAAACCACUGCACCCCGUAACGAAGUGACCGAAGCAAAAGACAAGUCCUCCGAAACGAAGGUUCAAGUUUCUGCUUUGAAAACGGACGAUUCGUUCAAGGAGGAGCUGGAGCUCUCCGCGCCGCAGUAUUGCACUCUUCCUCGGCUCAAGCGGCACUCGACUCGAUCUAGGGAAUCUACGCCCCCGAUGUCGCCCGCUGGCGAUUUAGGCGAGUAUGCUCCAAAAAUAAGUUCACUUUCGAAAGAGCCGAGGCACUCACGAGGGAGCAGCAUUCGCAGUACACCGGAUCGACCACUCCUUAGCAAGUAUUUAACCCCUGAGCGGACUCUUUCGCUUGACGAAUCUUACUCUUCCGACGGCGGCAGUAUUCUUUCGGAGCCCAGUUAUAUAGCGGCAUACGGUGUAUCGUCUAUUGGAAACGCGGGUCUCGGCUUUCGGCGGCACUCCAUGAGACUCGCCGGAGAACAGCCCAGAAAACGUAUUUCUAGGUUUCUUCGAGCGGACUUUUUCGAUUCGCCGUCGGACGAGAGCGUGUAUGCUAAACAUAAAAAAGAAAAAGAAUUAGAAACACAAAAGAUAUUAAGAGAAAUUAGAGAGAAAAGAAAUAAAUCUUUAGAGAUCUCUGAUGUGAAGAGUCCAACUGAGACGAUUGAUAGGCAAUCGACAUUCAAAGACGACUUUGCUCUUCCUCGCAAAUGUUUGUCACCAAUAUCACCUAUUAAUAGCAUUCUCUCUGCGAAAGAGCGUAGUAGAUCCAAUACACCGUUCUUUCCUAUUUUAGAUAAUAUAAAGGAGAGUACAUUAGAUUCGUCCUUAACGACAAAAUCCAACCGAUAUGGAAAAGUCGACGAUUCCAAUCUAUUUAAUUUAACUGAAGAGAGCGUUUUGAACAAGGAGUCCAAGCUUUCAAGACCAAAGAGUUACCCCAUAAAAAAUGUUGAGUCUUUCAAUAAGCCCAGUGAAACUGACUUAGUAGAAUGUAACAGUAUUGGCAAAGAUAAUGAAUCUAAAGAGAAAACUUUGUCAAGAGAAUCAAAAUUAUCAAGACCAAAGAGUUACCCAACCAGUAGUCCCUCUCCAGAAAAGGUUUUAAUCAGCCGAAAUGUCAAAAAAGUCGACACGCAAAGUGAAACGCCUAAAUCAAUACAGACAGAAGAGCCCCCAGACUCAAUAAAAAAUGACGUGGAAGUAAGUUUCAGUAUUGUGCUUCCUAAGAAAAGCACAAAACCAAAUGAAGUCUCUAAACCCGAUUUACUGAAGAAAAAUGAACCGCAAGAACAGAAAGAUGAUGCACCUGUAGAAGAUACCAAAAAAUUGGAAAACAUUUUGAUUCUGAAAAAAUAUCAAGUAAUGAACAAUAUCUCUGAUACACAAACUGUAAACAAAGCAAGUGAAAAUGGAACUGCAAAUAAAAACAAUGAAAUAAUAAACUCCGUCGAAAAGACUUCAUUUAACGAAGAUGCCAAGCUAAAAGUAAUGAAUCACACUUCCAAGAAGGAGGACAUUAACCUAAAAUCUCCUGAUACGGAAUCUAACGAAAAAAAGGGAACUAUCAAAAAGAAAAUUAUUAAAAAAGUGUCAUCGAAAACAAAGACUGACGCAGGCAGUAGUCAAGAAGGCAAUGGCGAAGGAAAGCCGGCAGCUGAAAAGAAAAAAGUCACAAAAAAAGUAAAAGAGAAAACUACAGACGAGGGAACAAAAACAACUACAGUCACAAAGAAGAAAUCUGUUCUUCAAUCUAUUGGGCACAAACUAGAAAAAUUGGCCUCGACGAAUAAAUCAAACUCACCCGAUAAAUUGACUGAAAAUAGUGUUACUUCUAAGGAAAUUAAAAAGGCCAAACUCAGUAGAAUGCAGCGAGAACAAUCUGUCCCUGUAAAUGCCGAUCCACCUACAGAGUCAAAUCUUAUUAAAAGGGCUGUCACUCUUACAGAUGUCGCUGCACUAGACUGCCAGAAUAUAACUUCCAGUAAAACUACGGUUUCCAAAGUAUUGGGCUUAUUUAAAAAAUUCGAACCUAAAGAAAAAAAUCUCAAAACUGUCGAAAAAUCUCAAAGUGACAAUUUAGAGGUAGUGGCAGAAACUAACGGUAAAGUUGAGUCUCUAUCUGAUGGUCUUUCAGACAAAUUUGAGGCAGAUAAACCGAAAAGGCCAACAUCACUGCUUUUAAACGGUCUAGGACGAAAAAAUAAAUAUGGAAGAUCUACCAGCGACUCCGUAUCUGCCACAUUAAUUGACAACGAUGAUCAAUCAGUAUCUAAGAAAGAAAAUAACUCCAAAAAUUUACGAAACAGUUUAAAAUUAGAUUUCUCUAAAUUGCCAAGAGUUAAGAAAAUAGUUCCUACAAAUCCUGUGAUAGAGCCUCAGAUGAUGAAUGUUACCUGCAACGAAAAGGGCGUUGAAAAGAAAGAAGCACUGGAAAAAAAUGGCAUAAUGACAAAUAGCAAAUUGGACGCGAGCUUAGAUAACGUAGAUUCACAAAGCCGCAGUCGAUCUAGGAGCAGAUCGACAUAUUCCAAUUCCGAAAUAAAGUCAGAUAAUAGCGCUGAAACAAAGGACUCCGAUAAAAAUCUGCCUUCUCCCAUGGACAGUACAGUUUAUCACCCGCAACGAAUUCAUGAAUCAACUACUCCUGAAAAAGAGGAUAUUGUGGAUAGAAUUCAUAGGAAAAGCUUUUAUUCCCGAUUCAAUGAGAAGAAACAAAGACGAAAAAGCAAUCUAGUAGGCCCAGGAGCUGCUGAAUAUGAUCCUGUGGCAAGAAUACAUGGUCAGCCAAGUGAGACGAAAUUUGACAUGUCCCCCACAUCCCCUGUCACUUACGAUAUAUCUCCAGGUUAUUCCGUAGGUCCAGACGUUUCGCCGUCCACAGAACGCUACCGAUCUCUUUUGACUGAUUUGUCUAAUAGUACUAGAAGUAACUUAAGGUUCGAUAACUACGGAUUGAACGAUAAAAUUGAUACCUAUCGAUCACUUGACCGAAAUGACUUUAGAAAGUAUCCCGGAACUAGAAGUUAUUUAGAUUAUGAUCAGCCAUCAUCAUAUACGUCGCAUAGAUAUACUCGAACGAAGUCACUUCUAGACAGCUCGGAUGGUAACGAAGAUCUCAAUAUUUCAUCUUUACGAGAUCCGCACAAAUACAAUCGGACAAUAUCCAUGUAUUCCCCGGGAAGUUAUGCUACUUAUAGGCCGAAGAGAACACGAAAUUCUGCCAUUAUAUUAAAAGAAAGCGAAAAAGAACCGAGCCCAGAAAACAUACUAGAAAAAAUAAGAAAUAGGAAAAAAAUCUCAAUUAGUGUGACUCGGAAACCGGACUCCGAAAAGGAACCACUGACAAGAUCCGAUGGCCCAUUUAAAGGCGAAGGCGACGGUGCAGAAUGCUCUGAGAAAGUUGACUGAAAGGCGCUACUAAUGUCGGCUGCGCAAUAAAGAGGGAAUAUUUGUGAUUUUUUAGGUAUUUGUUGAAUCUUCACUUUAGCGACAUAUUGGGAAUUCUUAAUCAUUUGGGUAUAAUUAUUCGUAGGAAGUGACAUGUAUCUAAGCUCCGUAUUUACACCGCGUUGUUGUUAGGUUUUCGAGACUGUACUGAAGAUAUUCUUGCCAAUCAAGUAGCCGUGUCGUAGUGACUCAUUCAUACACUUUCAUCGACGACAGAUGCUUUUUAUAAGACUGUCUUUAGUGACAAAUAGUAGGUAUUAUAUCAAAAGAAUCUCUCAUAAAUCAAUUUAAAUAUGUUAGAAGUUGUUCCCUAAACGCUUAAAAGACGCCAGUAAAUUGUAUGUAUUUUUGCAGUUGUUUUAUUAAGUGCGCAGUGAAUACUUAUUUACAUAAAAUCUUUGUUAUCUUUACUUGCAGUGGGACGAUAAAGCAGUAUAUUUUGAUACUCGAAUAUGGAUAUGUUAAAACCUCAUAAAUUAUACAAUUGACUAUUGAACAUAAUAUUUUGCAAAUUUUAUGGACCUUUGUUGAAAUAUUGUAAAUCGAUUAUUACGUGCCUUUAUACAAAGUAUUAGUGACUGGAUUUUAUAUAGUCCAUUUUAUUGAAAAGAGAGGAAACGACACGAUUUUAGUGUGUUUGCACAAUAUCUUUUACUCAAUCGUUUUUUUAAUCUUUUCAUAGCUACUAUGAAUUUACAUUUUUACGUGACACUAAGUCAAUUUUAAGUUUAAACGUAUAUCAUAAUCAUAUAUAAUUAAAGGCUAAGUCACGAACAGUAAUCGAAUAGAAUGGUGCUUAGACGGUUUUAAUAAUUUAUUUAUAGAUUGAACGUGUUAUAAAACCACUUACACCAAAUGUGUAUAUUUUAGCAAUAUAUAGUCUACUUAUAGAGUUUUCAGGUUUUUUAGAUCCAUUCGCGCGUAAUGUAAUUUAUACUAUUGCUUACCAGUCUAGUUGUAUUGGUACAGUAUUUAAGUUGUUACAGUGUUCGUUUGUUGCCAUCCUCAUCGAUUUUAAUAUAUGUCAAUGUCGCCUAGUUCGAUUAUAGUGGUAUUCAAAAGCAAUAUUUUUAAUGAAUCAUUAUUUUUUUCUUAAUUUGUCAUUUCGAUCCUAUUUAUUAUAUUAUUAGAAUUGAAAUUAUUUAUUUGGUGUGUGAGGAUUUUUAAUAUUUUUCCUUUUAGUCAUAGCUGCUACGAUUGUACUGGACACCAUGAUUGUUAAGAUCAAUAUUAAAAUUGCUAUCACACACGUUUUGUAUUGAAUGUGAAUAAAUU
Hyposmocoma kahamanoa is the source of this 8082-nucleotide RNA transcript. RefSeq lists it as uncharacterized. The transcript is spliced from 29 exons. Lineage: Eukaryota; Metazoa; Arthropoda; Insecta; Lepidoptera; Cosmopterigidae. The record is from RefSeq and is a predicted model, not a curated record.